AUCAUGGCUCAGGNUAAACGCUGGCGGCGCACAUAAGACAUGCAAGUCGAACGGACCAAAACUUUAGGUUUACCUAUAGUAGAGGUUAGUGGCGGACUGGUGAGUAACACGUAAGCAACCUGCCUAUCAGAGGGGAACAACAGUUAGAAAUGACUGCUAAUACCGCAUAUGCCAUAAUCACCACAUGGUGAUAGUGGAAAGGAGCAAUCCGCUGAUAGAUGGGCUUGCGUCUGAUUAGAUAGUUGGUGGGGUAACGGCCUACCAAGUCGACGAUCAGUAGCCGGACUGAGAGGUUGAACGGCCACAUUGGGACUGAGAUACGGCCCAGACUCCUACGGGAGGCAGCAGUCGGGAAUAUUGCGCAAUGGAGGAAACUCUGACGCAGUGACGCCGCGUGCAGGAAGAAGGUUUUCGGAUUGUAAACUGCUUUAGACAGGGAAGAUACAAGACAGUACCUGUAGAAUAAGCUCCGGCUAACUACGUG
Molecule: ribosomal RNA, 484 nt
Filed under: uncultured bacterium
Lineage: Bacteria
Description: bacterial SSU rRNA
Rfam family: Bacterial small subunit ribosomal RNA
Source: RNAcentral